This 319-nucleotide unclassified non-coding RNA is filed under the name plant metagenome. RNAcentral's name for it is "partial contains small subunit ribosomal RNA, internal transcribed spacer 1, and 5.8S ribosomal RNA". The record is from RNAcentral.
UCUCCGUAGGUGAACCUGCGGAGGGAUCAUUCACGUUUUUUGAUCUAUAUUAACAACAAUUCUGUGAACUUGUAGCGAGGUGUUUAGUUGAGGGUGGGCUUUCUUUCUGAGAGAGUCUUACCUUCCUUGCCUCGUUGUUGUCAUCGCAAGAUGAUAACACCCCAUUUACACAACCCUUUGAGUUGUAUGUUUGCUUGAACAAAGUAAACACACAACACUAACAUUCGAUAGCCAAUGCGACUGGCAGUCCCUCAAAAGACCAACAGUCACAAAUCCAAAUAUAGAAAAACAACUCUAUGCCCUGGAUAUCUUGGUUCUC